This 62-nucleotide transfer RNA is filed under the name Spurilla braziliana. RNAcentral describes it as "tRNA-Asn". Lineage: Eukaryota; Metazoa; Mollusca; Gastropoda; Nudibranchia; Aeolidiidae. The record is from RNAcentral.
AAGAAUGAAGCUAUUUAGCAUUUAACUGUUAAUUAAAAGAUAGCAUUUUGUAUGCCAUUCUU